CGGACGGGUGAGUAAUGUCUGGGAAACUGCCCGAUGGAGGGGGAUAACUACUGGAAACGGUAGCUAAUACCGCAUAACGUCGCAAGGCCAAAGAGGGGGACCUUAGGGCCUCUUGCCAUCGGAUGUGCCCAGAUGGGAUUAGCUAGUAGGUGGGGUAACGGCUCACCUAGGCGACGAUCCCUAGCUGGUCUGAGAGGAUGACCAGCCACACUGGAACUGAGACACGGUCCAG
RNAcentral lists this ribosomal RNA (232 nucleotides) under uncultured bacterium. Its description in RNAcentral is "partial 16S ribosomal RNA". It matches the Rfam family "Bacterial small subunit ribosomal RNA", at positions 99 to 334 of the family's 1533-position model. The record is from RNAcentral.